RNAcentral lists this ribosomal RNA (496 nucleotides) under uncultured Desulfobulbus sp. Its description in RNAcentral is "bacterial SSU rRNA". It matches the Rfam family "Bacterial small subunit ribosomal RNA", at positions 892 to 1382 of the family's 1533-position model. Lineage: Bacteria; Pseudomonadati; Thermodesulfobacteriota; Desulfobulbia; Desulfobulbales; Desulfobulbaceae. The record is from RNAcentral.
CUCAGAAACUUAAAGGAAGUUGACGGGGCCCGCACAAGCGGUGGAGUAUGUGGUUUAAUUCGAUGCAACGCGAAGAACCUUACCUGGUCUUGACAUCCCGGAGACCCUUAGGAAACUAGGGGGUGCUUCCAUCUGGAAGAAUCUGGAGACAGGUGCUGCAUGGCUGUCGUCAGCUCGUGUCGUGAGAUGUUGGGUUAAGUCCCGCAACGAGCGCAACCCUUGCCUUUAGUUGCCAGCAGUUCGGCUGGGCACUCUAAAGGGACUGCCGGUGUUAAACCGGAGGAAGGUGGGGAUGACGUCAAGUCCUCAUGGCCUUUAUGACCAGGGCUACACACGUACUACAAUGGCCGAUACAAAGGGCAGCGACACUGCGAGGUGAAGCCAAUCCCGUAAAAUCGGUCUCAGUCCGGAUUGGAGUCUGCAACUCGACUCCAUGAAGUUGGAAUCGCUAGUAAUCGUGGAUCAGCAUGCCACGGUGAAUACGUUCCCGGGCCUU